CCUACGGGGUGCAGCAGUGGGGAAUAUUGGACAAUGGGCGAAAGCCUGAUCCAGCCAUGCCGCGUGUGUGAAGAAGGCCUUCGGGUUGUAAAGCACUUUCAGUGGGGAAGAAAGCCUUGGGGCUAAUACCCUCGAGGAAGGACAUCACCCACAGAAGAAGCACCGGCUAACUCCGUGCCAGCAGCCGCGGUAAUACGGAGGGUGCGAGCGUUAAUCGGAAUUACUGGGCGUAAAGCGCGCGUAGGCGGUCUGAUAAGCCGGUUGUGAAAGCCCCGGGCUCAACCUGGGAACGGCAUCCGGAACUGGCAGGCUAGAGUGCAGGAGAGGAAGGUAGAAUUCCCGGUGUAGCGGUGAAAUGCGUAGAGAUCGGGAGGAAUACCAGUGGCGAAGGCGGCCUUCUGGACUGACACUGACGCUGAGGUGCGAAAGCGUGGGUAGCAAACAGGAUUAGAUACCCGGGUAGUC
This 465-nucleotide ribosomal RNA is filed under the name Vreelandella stevensii. RNAcentral describes it as "partial 16S ribosomal RNA". It matches the Rfam family "Bacterial small subunit ribosomal RNA", at positions 338 to 795 of the family's 1533-position model. Lineage: Bacteria; Pseudomonadati; Pseudomonadota; Gammaproteobacteria; Oceanospirillales; Halomonadaceae. The record is from RNAcentral.